Salmo salar (Atlantic salmon) is the source of this 54-nucleotide non-coding RNA. Lineage: Eukaryota; Metazoa; Chordata; Actinopteri; Salmoniformes; Salmonidae. The record is from Rfam.
UGCAUUCACUACUGUAGAUUGCUCUGGAUAAGAGUGUCUGCUAAAUGACUAAAA